CGUACUCGAGCCGUUAUGGGUGUCACGUUCUCUUGAAUUCCUGACUUUUCGAGCGAAUUGCUCUGUUUUCACAUUAUUACUGUUGUACGUAGCAGAUAUUUUCUAAGAAAUUAAAAUGAGCAUUCGACGGAGACGUGCCCAUAAUUUUGCAGAUUCCUUAAAUAGUUUUCGUCAAACAAUAAAUAAGGAUGAAUCAAAUCAGAUAUCAGAUGAAUUUCAUAAACAUAGCUGUUCGGAGAAUACAUCUUGUGUUGAGUCUGUAAUUCUAGCUGGUAGUUCAACCAAUCAGCAAUUUAUCUCAGAUUCGUGCAAUAUUGCUGAGGAAAGCUAUAAUAUAGCAUGUAAAAACAGGCAUCCUUUGUUGAUAGAUGAUGCAUUGAUUGUAUCAGAUGGAACAUCAUAUUUGUCAAUCAAACCAGACUUGAAUAAAUGUAUAAAUUUAUUUAAUAAUGAAUACCUGAAUAAUGAAUAUGAUGGUGCUAAAAAACAAUUAAGUUCUACACUAUUUGAAACUAAUGUCAGCCAAGACAUUAAUUUUUGUAAUUUAAAUAAAAAGUUCAUGGGACAACAGGACCUUAAUAAUCGACCACGUUCUAUGUCAGCAGAGUCACUGAGAAAUAUAAUACUUAAUCGAGAACUUAAAAGAUCAAAAAGUUACACUGUGCUUGAUAAAGCUUUGAGGAGGGAUAGGAAUUACAAUAUUAAAGGUGACCGGCUUUCUUUUCCUAUUAAAAAUACAAUGAAAAAAAUAAGUUGCAAGGAAGUUGAAAUAGUCGUUCCUUCUUUUGAAGCAUUAUCAUUAUCAAAACAUUCUGUUUUAUUAAACAGAAAAGAUGAUUCUUCAAAAGAAAAUCAGCUUGAUUCAAACAGCGAAGUGAGUUCCAAAGACGAACUUGGUCCUUUUGAGUUAAAAACAUUGCUACAGUCAUUGGCAGAUCAAAAGCUAUUGAAAGAAACAGCUGUGCAACAACGUUUAUUAAGGCGUUUAUCUGUAGAUUACCACGAUGCACCAAAAGCCUUUACAGAAAAUUUACUAACGAUAAUCGAAGAAUCUGUUAUAAAUAACGAUUCUCAUGCACAGUCACAAUAUCCAGAACUCAGUUUAUUUAGAUUUAAUGAAGAACUUCGAAAAAUGCGUAAAUUUCUAGAGGACGAGACCGUUCCUGAAUGGCCAGAGUCUCCUGGUAUGUCGACACCAAUUUGUACGAAAAGAAAAAGCCAAGAGUCUAACAUUCUUUUGCGAAAAUCUCUGAGUGCUUUAUCUCCAGAUAGCCUACAUUUUACAACGCCUGUUUCUUCCCAAUGUAAUACUAAAAGCCCCAAGAAAGCGUGUUGGCGUAUGUCAAAAAAUACUUCCUAUGUUACGAAAAAUUUAUUGAACGAUACAAAUACGUUUGAAAGUUUAGAAACGAUGUGCAAAAAGUUAUUUCCUGAUAAUGACUAUACUGUCCCAAGGGAGAAGAAUUUGUCACAGUCUCCUUUACAAAAUAUGGCUAAUAUCUUGCGUACCUGUGAAAACCAAAUGGCCUCUCUGGAAAAUUCACCUAUCAUUCAUGAGCAGAUAAAAAAAGCUGGAAUGUGUGGAACUUUGGACUCAACAUACCAGCACAAUAAAUUAUCUGAAGAGAAUCUGGAAUAUAGAUUGUUACUAAAUGAAAAGUACGAUAGAAUGGAUUCGGAGGCAGUACUUGAUAUACUUAAGCAGCAAACAGAAGAUGGUAAGCGUCAAGAAAUGAUCGAAACGAACGAUUUUGAGAGUACGGUCAUGUAUGAGAUUGCGAAAAAAAGACAGAGGUGCCUCGACACAGCAAAGAUAGUGAUGGAAAUUGACGAAAAUUUCAAGCCGAUGGAAGAAAUUCAUCCAAAUAUCAACGAUUCUUCGAUUGAGGUUGACAAUAAAUUAAUGAAAACUCUCAUGAGUGUAAAGAAAUAUCAAGAUUAUUUGGAAAAGUACAAAUCUUUGCUCAAUUUAUUUCAUCGAACAAGAUUGAGCAGUCCUCGCACUCCUUGUGACAGACAAGAUCUCCAAGCCGAGAAAAUGUUCAACAAAGAUAUUUGCGCGCUAUCAGUCGUAUUAGAGGAUGAGCAAACUUUACAAGUACCGAAGCCUUCACCGAGAAAGAAGAGUAUUAGUCCUUCGUCGACAAAAAAAACGGUUGCUACAAAGCCACGAUUAUUUAUAACUCCUGGAAAGACACUUGUUAACAAGAAUUGUAAGCCAAAACGCACGUACUUUCCCAAUUUACUACCGGGAAUGAAUAAGCAAAACAAGCAUGUAAGUCCUCAAGCAAAGAACAUUUAUCGACAAAUAGGAAAUUAUGAUCAUGUAAUAUCGCCAGUUGGAAUGUACAUAAAAGGCGCUGAGUCCCAUCUGAUUAAAAAUCUGAAACCUAUAACAGAUAAAAUGCUAUUAACACCUAAAAAAAAGACUACACAAUUGUCCAAUUCAAAAAUGAAACUUCAGCUCUCUCCAAAACCAAAAAAGAAGUUGACUGGGACAAUAGGAGAUGAAAAUGUUGCCGAUAACUUUUUACAUCCAAAAAUGCAUUACAAUUAUCCAUCGCAUUCACGUAAGAAACAGAAAAUCUAAAAGUGAGAAAUUAUGAAACCGAAUGAUUGCAUUGUAUAAUACAAAAAAAAAGAUCUCAUACGAAGGAGGUACAAAAUCAAUCUAAACACAUGGACUAACCCGAAGUUCUACAGAA
RNAcentral lists this unclassified non-coding RNA (2705 nucleotides) under Acromyrmex echinatior (Panamanian leafcutter ant). RNAcentral's name for it is "uncharacterized LOC105146925, transcript variant X2". The record is from RNAcentral. Lineage: Eukaryota; Metazoa; Arthropoda; Insecta; Hymenoptera; Formicidae.